This 73-nucleotide transfer RNA is filed under the name Camelus bactrianus (Bactrian camel). It matches the Rfam family "tRNA". From Rfam's summary of the family: Transfer RNA (tRNA) molecules are approximately 80 nucleotides in length. The record is from Rfam by way of RNAcentral. Lineage: Eukaryota; Metazoa; Chordata; Mammalia; Artiodactyla; Camelidae. RNAcentral also lists the same sequence under 2 other names.
GAGGAUAUAGCUCAAAUGGUAGAGCACAGGCUUAGCACACAUGAGGUCCUGGGUUCAAUACCCAGUACCUCCU